GACGAACGCUGGCGGCGUGCUUAACACAUGCGAGUCGAACGGAAAGGCCCUGCUUUUGUGGGGUGCUCGAGUGGCGAACGGGUGAGUAACACGUGAGUAACCUGCCCUUGACUUUGGGAUAACUUCAGGAAACUGGGGCUAAUACCGGAUAGGAGCUCCUGCUGCAUGGUGGGGGUUGGAAAGUUUCGGCGGUUGGGGAUGGACUCGCGGCUUAUCAGCUUGUUGGUGGGGUAGUGGCUUACCAAGGCUUUGACGGGUAGGCGGCCUGAGAGGGUGACCGGCCACAUUGGGACUGAGGUACGGACCAGACUCCUACGGGAGGCAGCAGUGGGGAAUAUUACACAAUGAGCGGAAGCCUGAUGCAGCAGCGCCGCGUGCGGGAUGACGGCCUUCGGGUUGUAAACCGCUUUCGCCUGUGACGAAGCGUGAGUGACGGUAAUGAGUAAAGAAGCACCGGCUAACUACGUG
This 468-nucleotide ribosomal RNA is filed under the name uncultured bacterium. Its description in RNAcentral is "partial 16S ribosomal RNA". It matches the Rfam family "Bacterial small subunit ribosomal RNA", at positions 28 to 507 of the family's 1533-position model. The record is from RNAcentral.